Long non-coding RNA from Rosa chinensis, 727 nucleotides. RefSeq lists it as uncharacterized. The record is from RefSeq and is a predicted model, not a curated record. Lineage: Eukaryota; Viridiplantae; Streptophyta; Magnoliopsida; Rosales; Rosaceae. The transcript is spliced from 2 exons.
UGUUUCCAAAUGAGAUCAAACUCAGUGAAAAUGCUUCUCCUCUCUAAACUGAGACAGUUCUUGGGAUCUCCUACCUGUUCAUUGCUUACAUCAAAUGUCAAAUGUCAAAUGUGUAUUACCACUUUACAAGAAAUGUUAGUGUCAUUGUCUUUAUUAAUGAUGUGUGGUGAUAUAAGGUAGACUUUGUUCAAAUGAGCAGUAAUGCAGUAUCAUUAGAAGUUGACAGAAAUCUAUUAGUAAUGUAGAAUCAAGGGAAGAUCAUUUUGACAUAUUUGAUGUAAGCAAGAGGGUCGAACAAGUGCAGCAGCUUCUCUCGCUUGUAAACUCGGUUAUAGCACAGAAUGGCGGGCGGCCAUACAUGGAUGGGAUAUUUGCUGAAGUGAAGAAAAGGGCUAUGAAGCUUCGUGAUCAACAAGAAGAGGUUGCUUCUGAAAAAGGGGUUUUCAAAACGAGUAAUAUCUCAUUUGAAUGAGCAGAUGCAGCUUGCACAUGAUCUGCAGUUUAAACGAAUUACUCAGAUGGUAAAUUUUCAUCUGCAUUUUGUUUGCAUUUAAUAAUUGCCAUCAGCAUGUUUUAACAGUUGGCUUAGUUAAAACUACAAUUUGCACGCUGCAUCCUGUGGCCUGUGCCAUAGUCUUGUGUCUAUUGACCAACCCCUUUAAAACAGAUCUUUGUAUUUGUAAAGAAUGAUAAAUUUGUGUAUAUUUUUUCACAUCGGCUGUUGGUC